RNAcentral lists this ribosomal RNA (151 nucleotides) under uncultured bacterium. Its description in RNAcentral is "partial 16S ribosomal RNA". It matches the Rfam family "Bacterial small subunit ribosomal RNA", at positions 340 to 508 of the family's 1533-position model. The record is from RNAcentral.
UACGGGAGGCAGCAGUGGGGAAUAUUGGACAAUGGGGGAAACCCUGACGCAGCAACGCCGCGUGGGUGAUGAAGGUCUUCGGAUUGUAAAGCCCUGUUUUCUAGGACGAUAAUGACGGUACUAGAGGAGGAAGCCACGGCUAACUACGUGA